Molecule: ribosomal RNA, 478 nt
Filed under: uncultured bacterium
Lineage: Bacteria
Description: bacterial SSU rRNA
Rfam family: Bacterial small subunit ribosomal RNA
Source: RNAcentral
AUGAACGCUGGCGGCGUGCUUUACACAUGCAAGUCGAGCGAGGCCAGGUAGCAAUACCUGAGUCGAGCGGCGCACGGGUGAGUAACGCGUGGAUAACCUGCCUGAUGGUGGGGGAUAACCCGGGGAAACUCGGGCUAAUACCGCAUAACACCGAGAGGUCAAAGGGGGCCGCAAGGCUCUCGCCUGCAGAGGGGUCCGCGUCCGAUUAGCUAGUUGGCAGGGUAAUGGCCUACCAAGGCGACGAUCGGUAGCCGGCCUGAGAGGGUGAUCGGCCACACUGGAACUGAGACACGGUCCAGACUCCUACGGGAGGCAGCAGUGGGGAAUUUUGCGCAAUGGGCGAAAGCCUGACGCAGCAACGCCGCGUGGAGGAUGAAGGUCUUCGGAUUGUAAACUCCUGUCAGUGGGGAAAAAGGGGAACGGGCUCAUACCCCGUUUCAUUGAUUGUACCCGCAGAGGAAGCCCCGGCUAACUCUGU